Molecule: ribosomal RNA, 478 nt
Filed under: uncultured bacterium
Lineage: Bacteria
Description: partial 16S ribosomal RNA
Rfam family: Bacterial small subunit ribosomal RNA
Source: RNAcentral
GAUGAACGCUGGCGGCGUGCUUAACACAUGCAAGUCGAACGGGAAACCUUUUAUUGAAGCUUCGGCAGAUUUAGCUGGUUUCUAGUGGCGGACGGGUGAGUAACGCGUGGGUAACCUGCCUUAUACAGGGGGAUAACAGUCAGAAAUGGCUGCUAAUACCGCAUAAGCGCACAGAGCUGCAUGGCUCAGUGUGAAAAACUCCGGUGGUAUAAGAUGGACCCGCGUUGGAUUAGCUGGUUGGUGGGGUAACGGCCCACCAAGGCGACGAUCCAUAGCCGGCCUGAGAGGGUGAACGGCCACAUUGGGACUGAGACACGGCCCAGACUCCUACGGGAGGCAGCAGUGGGGAAUAUUGCACAAUGGGGGAAGCCCUGAUGCAGCGACGCCGCGUGAAGGAAGAAGUAUCUCGGUAUGUAAACUUCUAUCAGCAGGGAAGAUAAUGACGGUACCUGACUAAGAAGCCCCGGCUAACUACGUG